UAUUAAUAUUAGCAUGCCUUUGAUUCAUGUCUUUCCAUUUUACAGUCUACCGCCAUAUGCCAACAGCAUGUUACUGGGCAUGAUGCAACCAAGUCUGCCCCAGGAAAUUCAGGAAGACUAUUUUACUAGAAACUGGGACUAAAAGACCACAAUUUAAUUUUAUGCCAUUUGUUAAGCUGAAAAAUAUGAGAAGAACUUUGGAUCUACACUGCCUUUAUAUUUUUGCAGUGAUAGAAACGGCAAAAUGCUUAUUCAAGCCUGCAGCAGAGUCGAUGGAGAAAAAGAUGCUACAGUGCGGUUUCCUUCAUAUGAAAGAAGUCUGUAUUUAGACUAAGAAUGAACUGAUGAAAUCAAACCUCUGGGAUGUUUGUACUUUAAUGGUUUAUGCAUUAACACUACUGUAUCGGUGCAGAUUGCUGAUAGUUAAGAAAGCGUGACCAUAAAAAGGUGUCUGAGCUGUCAAAAUGGUAUUCGGAUGGCUGACUGUCAAAGAUCUGCUACAGCAUCACAACUGGAGAUUUUAAUUGCAUUCAGACAUCACACUGGAAAGAUGUUGGGUGCAUUUUAUCCCUUCCUCUCUCUCUUACAUGCAUAUAUUCUUUCAGAACAUAAGCUUAUACAUACAUAUACAUUUUCACAGAUUCAAAAUUGUAUAAUAUUUUAAUCUGUGUUCAUGUCAGGUAGUAAUAUCCCCCUUACUCUUUCUCUCUUUAAAUAAAUGUUUGCAGAUUCCACUUUUGAUACCAGAACUGCAAGGCCUCAUUAUUUCUUAUUUCCAGAGGUUACAGAGUUUUAAU
Molecule: long non-coding RNA, 797 nt
Organism: Gallus gallus (chicken)
Lineage: Eukaryota; Metazoa; Chordata; Aves; Galliformes; Phasianidae
Source: Ensembl